Erinaceus europaeus (western European hedgehog) is the source of this 286-nucleotide unclassified non-coding RNA. Its record names the gene 7SK. It matches the Rfam family "7SK RNA". From Rfam's summary of the family: 7SK was discovered as an abundant small nuclear RNA in the mid-70s but a possible function has only recently been suggested. Two independent studies have found that 7SK RNA binds the CDK9/cyclin T complex (known as elongation factor P-TEFb). P-TEFb activates transcription by phosphorylating the C-terminal domain of RNA polymerase II. The record is from Ensembl. NCBI's taxonomy places the organism in Eukaryota, Metazoa, Chordata, Mammalia, Eulipotyphla, Erinaceidae.
GGAUGUGGGGGUGAUCUGGCUGCGACAUCUGUGAACUCAUUGAUCGCCAAAGUUGAUUUGGCUGAUCUGGCUUGCUAGGCAGGUUUCCCCUUCCUUACUCACUGCUCUAAGUCGUGCCUCCCGAAGCUACAUGAUCGGUGGAAGAGGACUGGCCUUCCCUGAAUAGACACAAACCGGUCUUUGGUGGAGGGUAUAUGAGUAGCUGUACUCCCCUGCAGGAACCUCCUACGAGCUCUCAAGUAGAGCCACUUACUAAAGGCAGAUAAUUGUACUAAUUGAGUUGCAG